AGCAGUCGCCGCGGGAAUACAGAGGGUGCGAGCGUUAAUCGGAUUUACUGGGCGUAAAGCGUGCGUAGGCGGCUUUUUAAGUCGGAUGUGAAAUCCCUGAGCUUAACUUAGGAAUUGCAUUCGAUACUGGGAAGCUAGAGUAUGGGAGAGGAUGGUAGAAUUCCAGGUGUAGCGGUGAAAUUCGUAGAGAUCUGGAGGAAUACCGAUGGCGAAGGCAGCCAUCUGGCCUAAUACUGACGCUGAGGUACGAAAGCAUGGGGAGCAAACAGGAUUAGAUACCCCAGUAGUCCCUGUCUCUUAUAC
RNAcentral lists this ribosomal RNA (303 nucleotides) under uncultured bacterium. RNAcentral describes it as "partial 16S ribosomal RNA". It matches the Rfam family "Bacterial small subunit ribosomal RNA", at positions 507 to 807 of the family's 1533-position model. The record is from RNAcentral.